RNAcentral lists this unclassified non-coding RNA (380 nucleotides) under plant metagenome. RNAcentral's name for it is "partial contains 5.8S ribosomal RNA, internal transcribed spacer 2, and large subunit ribosomal RNA". The record is from RNAcentral.
ACGCGUCAUGUCAGAUCAGCCCGCGGCCCCCCGCCGCUUCCUCCGCGGCACACGAGGGCGGCGCCAGGCGCCGCCCUCGCGUGACUCAAAUCAGGGCGUCCCGCCGAAGCGACGACUCACAGCUCGAGCUUGCCGAAAUGGUGCUCGUAGGCGCCGCGGUAAUCGGUGGCGUUGUAGAGGCCGUAGUAAACCACCCGCUUCACCCAGGCCUUCUGCGACUCCAUCACCUUCUUCAUGAACGGGUCGGCGCCGAGUUGGGCGAUCAGUCCGUCCCAGGCUUUGAUCUGCCCCUCGAACACGUCCUUCGGCGUGCGGAUGACGUUGACCUUGUCCUUCUCGCGCAGCUCCACGAGGUCCUUCGAGUAGUAGUCCAUCGCCUU